CAUUCGACCUGAGUUCAGGCAGGG
This 24-nucleotide ribosomal RNA is filed under the name Cladophora albida. Its description in RNAcentral is "partial 28S rRNA". RNAcentral also lists the same sequence under 1 other name. Lineage: Eukaryota; Viridiplantae; Chlorophyta; Ulvophyceae; Cladophorales; Cladophoraceae. The record is from RNAcentral.